UACCCUGGGGAUAACAGGCUUAUCUCCCCCAAGAGUCCACAUCGACGGGGCGGUUUGGCACCUCGAUGUCGGCUCAUCACAUCCUGGGGCUGUAGUAGGUCCCAAGGGUUGGGCUGUUCGCCCAUUAAAGUGGUACGCGCGCUGGGUUCAGAACGUCGUGAGACAGUUCGGUCCCUAUCCGUCGCAGGCGUAGGAAAUUUGAGAAGACCUGUCCUUAGUACGAGAGGACCGGGAUGGACGUACCUCUGGUGUACCAGUUGUCCUGCCAAGGGCAUGGCGGGGUAGCUAUGUACGGAAUGGAUAAGCGCUGAAAGCAUCUAAGCGCGAAG
Molecule: ribosomal RNA, 329 nt
Filed under: Clostridioides difficile
Lineage: Bacteria; Bacillati; Bacillota; Clostridia; Peptostreptococcales; Peptostreptococcaceae
Description: bacterial LSU rRNA
Rfam family: Bacterial large subunit ribosomal RNA
Source: RNAcentral